GAUUAACGCUAGCGGCAGGCCUAAUACAUGCAAGUCGAGGGGCAGCAGGGUGUAGCAAUACAUCGCUGGCGACCGGCGCACGGGUGCGUAACACGUAUGCAACCUACCUUUAACUGGGGAAUAGCCCUCCGAAAGGAGGAUUAACACCGCAUAACAUCACGAGACGGCAUCGCCUUGUGAUCAAACCUCCGGGGGUUAAAGAUGGGCAUGCGUCCGAUUAGCUAGUUGGCGGGGUAACGGCCCACCAAGGCGACGAUCGGUAGGGGGUCUGAGAGGAUGAUCCCCCACACUGGUACUGAGACACGGACCAGACUCCUACGGGAGGCAGCAGUAAGGAAUAUUGGACAAUGGUCGCAAGACUGAUCCAGCCAUGCCGCGUGCAGGAUGAACGAUCUAUGAUCUGUAAACUGCUUUUGUUCGGGAAUAAACCCCUUCACGUGUGGAGGGCUGAAUGUACCGAAAGAAUAAGGGUCGGCUAACUUCGUGCCAGCAGC
Molecule: ribosomal RNA, 494 nt
Filed under: uncultured bacterium
Lineage: Bacteria
Description: bacterial SSU rRNA
Rfam family: Bacterial small subunit ribosomal RNA
Source: RNAcentral